GGGAGAGUCACCCAGCGGCGAGGGCAGCGGUCCGUAAAACCGUGACAUUAGAAACAUCGAAGGUUCGAGUCCUUCCUCUCCCA
RNAcentral lists this transfer RNA (83 nucleotides) under Hominimerdicola alba SY3. RNAcentral's name for it is "Ruminococcus albus SY3 tRNA". It matches the Rfam family "tRNA". Rfam says of the family: Transfer RNA (tRNA) molecules are approximately 80 nucleotides in length. The record is from Rfam by way of RNAcentral. Lineage: Bacteria; Bacillati; Bacillota; Clostridia; Eubacteriales; Oscillospiraceae.